GGGGGCGCAUCGGUUUCGACAGGAGUAGGUGUGCUAUCGACAGCGGGUCGGGGUCUCGGUUACCCCGUAAAACCACCGAAACAAACAUACACGCAAACAAAGAAUUUGCACUGGCUGCAUAAGCCGCGCCGCCUUAUGUUUUCCCGAGGCAUAAGCUCGGCGUCACUCAUCGGGAUACCUUCGCGGAACGUCGGAUAUCGCUGAAGGGAACCGCAUCCGAAUCGUCUUUGUCGGCUUGUUCAUGAGCGAAACAAAGAUUAACACCCGAUCAUGAACUGCACCCGGAGCGGUCGAUAGGGCAAUAUUUUUGGACAGGGGUUCGACUCCCCUCGUCUCCACCA
Molecule: transfer-messenger RNA, 341 nt
Filed under: human gut metagenome
Rfam family: transfer-messenger RNA
About the family: Bacterial tmRNA, also known as 10Sa RNA or SsrA, is named for its dual tRNA and mRNA-like properties.
Source: RNAcentral